This 238-nucleotide long non-coding RNA is filed under the name Lathyrus oleraceus (garden pea). RNAcentral describes it as "Pisum sativum (pea) long non-coding RNA (PSAT_LNC009298)". The record is from RNAcentral. Lineage: Eukaryota; Viridiplantae; Streptophyta; Magnoliopsida; Fabales; Fabaceae.
UGCAUUCUGAACAUUCUGGUAGAGGGGUGAUCUUCUCCUUCAGUUGUCUUCUAAGCUCCAAGACUUCUUCUUCAAGAUAGUCCUCUGAUUUCUGUCUCAACUCCAUCUCUUUCUUCAACUGAGUGUCUUUGUCUUUGAGUUGCUUUUCUAGGUCUCUGAUCUUCUUCUGAUAGUUGACUUCUGCUCUCUGCAACCUCAAACACUCCCUAUGCUCUGUAUCCAACAUGGAUUCCAUCUC